RNAcentral lists this small RNA (173 nucleotides) under Salmonella enterica subsp. enterica serovar Schwarzengrund str. CVM19633. RNAcentral describes it as "RtT RNA". The stretch from base 42 to 173 matches the Rfam family "RtT RNA". From Rfam's summary of the family: This family represents a bacterial cis-regulatory element known as RtT RNA. The exact function of RtT is unknown although it is thought that it may be involved in changing the cellular response in relation to amino acid starvation. RNAcentral also lists the same sequence under 1 other name. The record is from RNAcentral. Lineage: Bacteria; Pseudomonadati; Pseudomonadota; Gammaproteobacteria; Enterobacterales; Enterobacteriaceae.
CUCUCGUCGCGUAUCUUAUCCCCGUUAAGCACAGUGCCUCAUAUCUCUCCGUACGGGGAAGGAUGAGAAGCUUCGACUAAGGUUCGAUUCGAGCGAAAGCGAGAAAGCGUUGCCAACGGCAACGACCCGAAGGGCGAAGCGCGCAGCGCUGAGUAAUCCUUCCCCCACCACCA